Molecule: non-coding RNA, 73 nt
Organism: Zootermopsis nevadensis
Lineage: Eukaryota; Metazoa; Arthropoda; Insecta; Blattodea; Termopsidae
Source: Rfam
GCCACGGUGGUCUAGCGGUUAGGACGCUGGCCUUGUAAUCCUGGGGUCUCGGGUUCGAUUCCCGGUGGUGCCC